Molecule: non-coding RNA, 78 nt
Filed under: Anaerostipes rhamnosivorans
Lineage: Bacteria; Bacillati; Bacillota; Clostridia; Lachnospirales; Lachnospiraceae
Description: Cyclic di-GMP-I riboswitch
Rfam family: c-di-GMP-I riboswitch aptamer
About the family: GEMM was predicted in a large-scale screen for bacterial structured RNA regulatory elements. Genes associated with GEMM are involved in a diverse array of functions, including chemotaxis regulation, signal transduction, secretion and chitin.
Source: RNAcentral
GUAAAUAGGCAAACCUGCUGAAAAGCAGUGACGCAAAGCUAAAGGGCCUUGGCGGUAAAGCCGUGGCAGCCAGCUGCC